This 860-nucleotide long non-coding RNA is filed under the name Vigna radiata. RNAcentral's name for it is "long non-coding RNA (VRAD_LNC002184)". The record is from RNAcentral. Lineage: Eukaryota; Viridiplantae; Streptophyta; Magnoliopsida; Fabales; Fabaceae.
CUAGGUUCGAAUCAUAAUUUGUGGUUGAACACGGGUUGAUGGUAAAAGAGGUUCAAUAGGUGGAAAUGGCUAACAAUUUGAUGCAAAAGAGUUAACAAGGUGACAAAGGAAUAGAGGAUUAAAAUGAAGCUAAAAUACCUCUGGCUAAUGAAGAGCUUACAUUCGGUAAUGAGAGACAAUGUGGAGACUGAAUGAUGAAGUGGAUGAAUCGAGAGGAUGACAUGAAAGAGCUUGGGAGAACUUGCAAACCAAUAUUAGGUUUCAGUGAAUGAGCGGAUAGUUGAUGCGAAGAAGAAUCGAGAAUGAAUGAGAGGGAACUAGGGUUUAAUGAAGUGAAUAACAAGAAAGUAAGUCAAAUGGGGGAAAAUGGGUUUUGAUGGAUGAGCGAGAAACUAAAGAGCAAAGUGGGAAAAUGAGAGAAUGAGUGGUGUGAAUGGAAGAUGGCUAGAGGAGGACCAUAGGAUUCUCUAGCCUUGACUCUUAAGGAGAAUUGUUUCUAGAGUCAUCUCUAUAAAAUGAUAAUUCAUUAAUCUAAAAAAUGACAUUUACAAAGGUGUUAACAUGCCUUUAUAGGGAUGAGAUCCCUCCUAUGUCUACCACAUGCUUAGCAUGUUAUACACACGUUUCAUACAAAUAAAAAAGAAUAUUAAAUAUGUGCUUCGAUUGGAGCUUGGACUUGGGCCCAAGUCAUCAAUAUUUAUAGCCAAAAAAGUAGUUGUCUUAGGCGGAUCGCAACCCUUGAAACCAACUAGAUCUAACAAUCCAUAACACACGACUUUUCGUGUCAAGCAGGUGCAUGAAUCCCGAGGAUCCACGUGUCCUGCUCGCCCCGACUACAUUUUCCUGUAAACGCCAUGAUA